RNAcentral lists this microRNA precursor (94 nucleotides) under Canis lupus dingo (dingo). Its description in RNAcentral is "mir-8799 microRNA precursor family". It matches the Rfam family "mir-8799 microRNA precursor family". Lineage: Eukaryota; Metazoa; Chordata; Mammalia; Carnivora; Canidae. The record is from Rfam by way of RNAcentral.
GGGGGGAGCGCCGGAUCUUGAGCUGUGUCUCCUGGCAUCCUGGGCUCCCGGGGCCUGUGCUGUUGGAUUCGCGCUCCCGGCCCUGCAGCCCCUU